GGGCUGGGGCUCAGCGGUAGAGCACUGGCCCAGCAUGGCUGAGGUACUGGGUUUAAUCCUCAGCACCACA
Molecule: transfer RNA, 70 nt
Filed under: Marmota monax (woodchuck)
Lineage: Eukaryota; Metazoa; Chordata; Mammalia; Rodentia; Sciuridae
Description: tRNA.Ala
Source: RNAcentral